Phrynosoma platyrhinos (Desert horned lizard) is the source of this 73-nucleotide non-coding RNA. NCBI's taxonomy places the organism in Eukaryota, Metazoa, Chordata, Lepidosauria, Squamata, Phrynosomatidae. The record is from the annotation of a GenBank genome assembly.
GCCAGUGUGGCACAGUGUUUUGAGUGUUGGGAUUACAACUCUAGAGACCAGGGUUUGAUUCCCAGCUCAGCCA